GGCCGACUAGCUCAGUUGGUUAGAGCGUCGUGCUAAUAUCAGUUCUACUGCAACUGGUUUGACGCGAAGGUCUUGGGUUCGACCCCCACGUUGGCCA
Molecule: non-coding RNA, 97 nt
Organism: Hymenopellis radicata
Lineage: Eukaryota; Fungi; Basidiomycota; Agaricomycetes; Agaricales; Physalacriaceae
Source: the annotation of a GenBank genome assembly